RNAcentral lists this small nuclear RNA (152 nucleotides) under Ricinus communis (castor bean). RNAcentral describes it as "U4 spliceosomal RNA". It matches the Rfam family "U4 spliceosomal RNA". Rfam says of the family: U4 small nuclear RNA (U4 snRNA) is a component of the major U2-dependent spliceosome. The structure of U4 snRNA from yeast and human has been reported. U4 snRNA presents a k-turn RNA motif in the 5p-SL related to recognition of Snu13 protein. Lineage: Eukaryota; Viridiplantae; Streptophyta; Magnoliopsida; Malpighiales; Euphorbiaceae. The record is from Rfam by way of RNAcentral.
AUCUUUGCGCUUGGGGCAAUGACGCAGCUAGUGAGGUUCUAACCGAGGCGCGUCUAUUGCUGGUUGAAAACUAUUUCCAAACCCCCUCUUCGGCCUUGGCUUGUCCUUGCGCUGUCGAGAAUUUCUGGAAGGGCUCCCUUUGGGGUAAAGUC